RNAcentral lists this long non-coding RNA (363 nucleotides) under Homo sapiens (human). RNAcentral's name for it is "non-protein coding LINC01497:5". Lineage: Eukaryota; Metazoa; Chordata; Mammalia; Primates; Hominidae. The record is from RNAcentral.
CUUCUGCCAAGCAGAGCAGCACAGCUGCAAGACACCCUGCUUCUGGCUCUGAGCUUUGCUUGUCUUCAGGGAUGGAGCCCCUCCCAAGGCAAGUUCAACUGGGUUCUUUGGCAGCCGAAGUCUACACGGACCCUGCAGGGAGCGGUGGAGAAAAAUAUAUUGAUCAUGAGGAGAGGGCUCACCCCUCACCCGGAGAAGUAGUUGGGGAAGCAAUAUGCGGAAACAAAGCCAUGAAUCUGACAAGAAAUGUACUUAAGAUUGUAUAUAUGGAGAUGAAUACCCAUUGUCCUUUGCACUUUCUGGAUGAUAAAUUAGAAAAGAAAAAUCCAAAGAAUGAAGUUGUGCUAUUUGUCCUCACUUCUG